RNAcentral lists this ribosomal RNA (305 nucleotides) under uncultured bacterium. RNAcentral describes it as "bacterial SSU rRNA". It matches the Rfam family "Bacterial small subunit ribosomal RNA", at positions 334 to 655 of the family's 1533-position model. The record is from RNAcentral.
UGGGCCUACGGGGGGCAGCAGUCGAGAAUCAUUCACAAUGGGGGAAACCCUGAUGCAGCGACGCCGCGUGAGUGAAGAAGUAUUUCGGUAUGUAAAGCUCUAUCAGCAGGAACGAGACAAGACGGUACCUGACUAAGAAGCCCCGGCUAACUACGUGCCAGCAGCCGCGGUAAUACGUAGAGGGCAAGCGUUAUCCGGAAUCACUGGGUGUAAAGGGAGCGUAGACGGCUGUGCAAGCCUGAAGUGAAAGGCGGGGGCCCAACCCCCGGACUGCUUUGGGAACUGUACGGCUGGAGUGCAGGAGG